CCUUCAUGUCUGUCAGUUGAUGGUGAUAUACAGGCUGAGAUGGACAUGGAAGAGAGAGAGAGGAUCUCUACCUCUUACUGUAACUCACAGUCACUCUCAGUGUGUUCUGUAUAACCAUGUUACUCUGUCUGAUCAUCUGGCUGGUUCUUGAUGUAUUCUGCUUCGAGUGCACAGCAGACCAAGUUCAACAGCAACCAGGAGGUGUGAUUGCUACAGAAGGAGGACUGGUAACACUGAGUUGUCAAUAUAACACCAGUGCUAAUAAUGCAUAUCUAUAUUGGUUCAAACAAGAAGAAAAUGACUUCCCUAAACAUAUGCUGAGCCGUUAUUCAUUUGGAUCUGGAGACAACGCUGCAGGGUUCAAGGAGAGAUUUGAUGCCCGUCUCGAUGCGGACUCAAAAUCAGUCCCCUUGACGAUCCAGAGGGUGCAGCUGUCUGACUCUGCUGUGUACUACUGUGCCCUACAGCCCACAGUGAGAGGAAACCUGUGAAGACUCUACAAAAACCUGGAGAAAAAAACUGACAUCCCCUACACAUCCUGUCAUUUUUUAUUUCAUCAUUACUUUGUGUAAACAAAACACACACACUGAAAAUGAACAAUGAAAGCUUUUCAAUGAACAACAAAAAACAAAUGUUAAAAAUGUUGAAUGGAAGAGUGACAAAACUCAAUCUAUCUGAAUGUGUUGCUUAUUUAUACUUUAGAUUGUAGAUGUAAAUAGGAAAGCAAAAAACUGUGAAUGAAUGAAUGCCUCAUUGAAUACAUUUAUAUCUUGAAGAUCUUGGAUGAAGCAACUCUCUUACCCUAAAAUCAAGAAAAUAAAUGGAAAUAAAUAAGA
Oncorhynchus tshawytscha (Chinook salmon) is the source of this 836-nucleotide non-coding RNA. Lineage: Eukaryota; Metazoa; Chordata; Actinopteri; Salmoniformes; Salmonidae. The record is from the annotation of a RefSeq genome assembly.